This 253-nucleotide ribosomal RNA is filed under the name uncultured bacterium. Its description in RNAcentral is "partial 16S ribosomal RNA". It matches the Rfam family "Bacterial small subunit ribosomal RNA", at positions 524 to 776 of the family's 1533-position model. The record is from RNAcentral.
UACGUAGGUGGCAAGCGUUGUCCGGAUUUAUUGGGUUUAAAGGGCUCGUAGGCGGCCAACUAAGUCAGACGUGAAAUCCCUCGGCUUAACCGGGGAACUGCGUCUGAUACUGGAUGGCUUGAGUUCGGGAGAGGGAUGCGGAAUUCCAGGUGUAGCGGUGAAAUGCGUAGAUAUCUGGAGGAACACCGGUGGCGAAGGCGGCAUCCUGGACCGAUACUGACGCUGAGGAGCGAAAGCCAGGGGAGCAAACGGG